UCGAUUGGGUUGCCUGUGUUAGAUCCCGGCAUUCGCCGUCCUGACAACCCCUACUUUAUAUUACUGGGAACUGGGAAAAGCGUUCUCGCCGUUUUGACUUAUACCAUUCGGCGGUGCUCAUUAGAACCUUCCAUCAUUUGUUCGUAGCGUCUGAUGCUUUGUUGCGUCGUUCUUAUGGUUUCAACAUAUAAGAAAAUAUAACGCAUCUGACUCGGCUGCAGUUUAUCGCAAUCGGAGAAGGCUUCAGAACCAUGAUGAAGGGAUUUUCUUAUAUGGUGAUGAUUAUUGUUCUCUUGGCUUGUGCUAUUUAUCCUGGCAGUGGGCUUCAAUGUUUUUCCUGCACAGCAAGUGGAAAUACCUCAUCAUUGUCUUGUGCAGGUGUGCCUAAGAACUGCACAGCCCAAGAUAAACAAUGCAAUACAUACUUUGUCAGGAAAGGAAACUAUUCUUAUGAAUUCACCAGGGAUUGUGUACCUGCAGAAGUCUGUGCACCCAGCUAUUGCAAGUCCUUCAUCCUUCCACUUGGCUAUAUGGAGUGUGUUGUGAAGUGUUGUGAAGACAGUUUGUGCAAUAAGGAUGUCAUAAUCAAUUCUAACUCACCAUCAAUGGCAACCUUUAUAGCUCAGUGGCUUGUUUUGCUUGUAACUGCAAUACAUGUGUUAUUUCUUUAGUUCAAAUUAUAGUAGAAAUUAUUUUAUUCAGAUAUGAAAGAGUUCUUUUGUACACAUACUAACAGGCCCAUACCCAAGGGGGUGCAAGGGGUGCGAACGCACCCCUCCCACACAACGGCCGAAAGUCUACUUUCAGUUCUCAAUAGACAUGCUAUUUGUAGACCAAACUGUAAAGUAUAAGCUAGGUCACUCUGGUAUGUCAUCAAUCCAUGAGUCAGACUUUUGUGUAGCCAAAUCCAACAAGAAACGUCCCUGGGUACGGGCCUGUACUAAUAACCCAUUUUUUUAAACAUUAAAACUAUUACUGUUUUCACAUUUUGUGGAAUUAUGGGACUAAGGACAAAAUGCUUAGUUAAAAAGGAUGAAGUGGCCAGAGAGUUGGAUCCCCUCAAAGGAUCCACUAACAUACCCCAGGGAUGAGGAAGGUACCACCUUGCAUAUAUAUUUUAGAUAAUUACCCUAAUAAUUCAAAUAAGCACCCCAUCCCCAAUAAGUACCACCCUUGACCCUUACAAUUUUAAUUUUGAUAUAAGUAACCCCUCCACUCCCCUAUAAAAAAUAUCUAAAAAAGGGGCAACUUAUUGUGUGAAUCUCAACAUUAUUUACCUCAAAUUGAUUUUCUAAUCAUUCAAUAUGGGCCUAGCAGCAUUUUUACUAUCACAUUUUAUUGCAAAUAAAGUUUUGUUCUCAAUCAAUUCAGAAGCUGGUAUUUUCCGCCCAAAAGGAAAUAAGUACCCCCUCUGCAAUUAGUGGCCCCUCAAGGACCAAAUACUCCCCGGGCGCUAAUUGGAAUUAUUAUGGUCAGUUGGUAGAAGCCCUACCCCCUCCUCCUGGCUUUGCUACUUGUGACAUGGCUAGUAAACCCGGGUAAUGGUAAUCGGUUGAUGAGUAAUAUAAUACAGUACAAUACAUUUAUUUUGCAUUUCAAUGAUAUAUAAUAUUACCUUUUAGAUUUACAUAUUUUAUGAUUAACAUACUUUUGUAUAUUUUAGUUAUUAUUAAAAUAGUAUAUUAUAUUCACACAUCAAUAACAUGUAUUAGUUUAAGGUAGUUAGGAAAUAUAGGGAAUUAUGAACUGUUUAUAAACCUAUUAAUAACCUAA
Nematostella vectensis (starlet sea anemone) is the source of this 1773-nucleotide long non-coding RNA. RefSeq lists it as uncharacterized. Lineage: Eukaryota; Metazoa; Cnidaria; Anthozoa; Actiniaria; Edwardsiidae. The record is from RefSeq and is a predicted model, not a curated record. The transcript has 2 exons.